RNAcentral lists this ribosomal RNA (498 nucleotides) under uncultured bacterium. RNAcentral describes it as "partial 16S ribosomal RNA". It matches the Rfam family "Bacterial small subunit ribosomal RNA", at positions 30 to 523 of the family's 1533-position model. The record is from RNAcentral.
AUUGAACGCUGGCGGAAUGCUUUACACAUGCAAGUCGAACUGCAGCACGGGGCAACCUGGUGGCGAGUGGCGAACGGGUGAGUAAUACAUCGGAACGUGCCCAAUCGUGGGGGAUAACGUAUCGAAAGCUACGCUAAUACCGCAUACGAUCUACGGAUGAAAGCGGGGGAUCGCAAGACCUCGCGCGAAUGGAGCGGCCGGUGGCGGAUUAGGUAGUUGGUGGGGUAAAGGCUCACCAAGCCGACGAUCUGUAGCUGGUCUGAGAGGACGACCAGCCACACUGGGACUGAGACACGGCCCAGACUCCUACGGGAGGCAGCAGUGGGGAAUUUUGGACAAUGGGCGCAAGCCUGAUCCAGCCAUUCCGCGUGCAGGAUGAAGGCCUUCGGGUUGUAAACUGCUUUUGUACGGAACGAAAAGGCUCUGGUUAAUACCCGGGGCUCAUGACGGUACCGUAAGAAUAAGCACCGGCUAACUACGUGCCAGCAGCCGCGGUAA